GUUUGGCACCUCGAUGUCGGCUCAUCACAUCCUGGGGCUGAAGUAGGUCCCAAGGGUAUGGCUGUUCGCCAUUUAAAGUGGUACGCGAGCUGGGUUUAGAACGUCGUGAGACAGUUCGGUCCCUAUCUGCCGUGGGCGCUGGAGAACUGAGGGGGGCUGCUCCUAGUACGAGAGGACCGGAGUGGACGCAUCACUGGUGUUCGGGUUGUCAUGCCAAUGGCACUGCCCGGUAGCUAAAUGCGGAAGAGAUAAGUGCUGAAAGCAUCUAAGCACGAAACUUGCCCCGAGAUGAGUUCUCCCUGAGACUUAGAGUCUCCUGAAGGAACGUUGAAGACGACGACGUUGAUAGGCCGGGUGUGUAAGCGCAGCGAUGCGUUGAGCUAACCGGUACUAAUGAACCGUGAGGCUUAACCUUAC
This 417-nucleotide ribosomal RNA is filed under the name Salmonella enterica subsp. enterica serovar Braenderup str. CFSAN000756. Its description in RNAcentral is "bacterial LSU rRNA". It matches the Rfam family "Bacterial large subunit ribosomal RNA", at positions 2516 to 2925 of the family's 2925-position model. Lineage: Bacteria; Pseudomonadati; Pseudomonadota; Gammaproteobacteria; Enterobacterales; Enterobacteriaceae. RNAcentral also lists the same sequence under 1 other name. The record is from RNAcentral.